UGUGGCAUAACUUCGUAGCUUCAUAAUGCAUGCUUCGUAUCCAAAUGUCUAGCACCUAGGCCUGCCUACUUUAUUGGCGUUUUGAAACAUUUUUA
Long non-coding RNA from Alosa sapidissima (American shad), 95 nucleotides. RefSeq lists it as uncharacterized. The record is from RefSeq and is a predicted model, not a curated record. NCBI's taxonomy places the organism in Eukaryota, Metazoa, Chordata, Actinopteri, Clupeiformes, Clupeidae. The transcript has 3 exons.